Non-coding RNA from Mycena epipterygia, 91 nucleotides. The record is from the annotation of a GenBank genome assembly. Lineage: Eukaryota; Fungi; Basidiomycota; Agaricomycetes; Agaricales; Mycenaceae.
GACUCGGUGGCGGACGGCCCGCGUCUGCAAGUUGUUCUUGAUUCUGAGUUUGAUGCAGCAGAAGGUGCCCGUUCGACUCGGGCCCGAGUCA